This 83-nucleotide transfer RNA is filed under the name Araneus ventricosus. RNAcentral's name for it is "tRNA-Leu". The stretch from base 7 to 75 matches the Rfam family "tRNA", at positions 8 to 63 of the family's 71-position model. Rfam says of the family: Transfer RNA (tRNA) molecules are approximately 80 nucleotides in length. Their secondary structure includes four short double-helical elements and three loops (D, anti-codon, and T loops). Lineage: Eukaryota; Metazoa; Arthropoda; Arachnida; Araneae; Araneidae. The record is from RNAcentral.
UCCCGAUGGCCGAGCGGUCUAAGGCGCCAGAUUUAAGCUCUGGUUCUCGAAAGAGAGCGUGGGUUUGAACCCCGCAGCUGGUG